RNAcentral lists this ribosomal RNA (253 nucleotides) under uncultured cyanobacterium. RNAcentral describes it as "partial 16S ribosomal RNA". It matches the Rfam family "Bacterial small subunit ribosomal RNA", at positions 524 to 776 of the family's 1533-position model. The record is from RNAcentral. Lineage: Bacteria; Bacillati; Cyanobacteriota. RNAcentral also lists the same sequence under 1 other name.
GACGGAGGAUGCAAGCGUUAUCCGGAAUGAUUGGGCGUAAAGCGUCCGCAGGUGGCAGUUCAAGUCUGCUGUCAAAGACCGGGGCUCAACCUCGGAAAGGCAGUGGAAACUGAACAGCUAGAGUAUGGUAGGGGCAAAGGGAAUUCCUGGUGUAGCGGUGAAAUGCGUAGAGAUCAGGAAGAACAUCGGUGGCGAAGGCGCUUUGCUGGACCAUAACUGACACUCAGGGACGAAAGCUAGGGGAGCGAAUGGG